This 492-nucleotide ribosomal RNA is filed under the name uncultured bacterium. RNAcentral's name for it is "partial 16S ribosomal RNA". It matches the Rfam family "Bacterial small subunit ribosomal RNA", at positions 29 to 507 of the family's 1533-position model. The record is from RNAcentral.
AGUGAACGCUGGCGGUAGGCCUAACACAUGCAAGUCGAUCGGCAGCACAGUAAGAGCUUGCUCUUACGGGUGGCGAGUGGCGGACGGGUGAGGAAUACAUCGGAAUCUACUUUUUCGUGGGGGAUAACGUAGGGAAACUUACGCUAAUACCGCAUACGACCUACGGGUGAAAGCAGGGGAUCUUCGGACCUUGCGCGAGUGAAUGAGCCGAUGUCGGAUUAGCUAGUUGGCGGGGUAAAGGCCCACCAAGGCGACGAUCCGUAGCUGGUCUGAGAGGAUGAUCAGCCACACUGGAACUGAGACACGGUCCAGACUCCUACGGGAGGCAGCAGUGGGGAAUAUUGGACAAUGGGCGCAAGCCUGAUCCAGCCAUACCGCGUGGGUGAAGAAGGCCUUCGGGUUGUAAAGCCCUUUUGUUGGGAAAGAAAAGCAGCAGGUUAAUACCCCGCUGUUCUGACGGUACCCAAAGAAUAAGCACCGGCUAACUUCGUG